Molecule: transfer RNA, 75 nt
Filed under: Rickettsiales bacterium
Lineage: Bacteria; Pseudomonadati; Pseudomonadota; Alphaproteobacteria; Rickettsiales
Description: tRNA-Thr
Rfam family: tRNA
About the family: Transfer RNA (tRNA) molecules are approximately 80 nucleotides in length. Their secondary structure includes four short double-helical elements and three loops (D, anti-codon, and T loops).
Source: RNAcentral
GCCGGUUUAGCUCAGCGGUAGAGCAACCGCUUCGUAAGCGGUAGGCCGUCUGUUCAAAUCAGACAACCGGCACCA